ACGCUGGCGGCGUGCCUAAUACAUGCAAGUAGAACGCUGAAGGAGGAGCUUGCUUCUCCGGAUGAGUUGCGAACGGGUGAGUAACGCGUAGGUAACCUGCCUGGUAGCGGGGGAUAACUAUUGGAAACGAUAGCUAAUACCGCAUAAGAGUAGAUGUCGCAUGACAUUUGCUUAAAAGGUGCAAUUGCAUCACUACCAGAUGGACCUGCGUUGUAUUAGCUAGUUGGUGGGGUAACGGCUCACCAAGGCGACGAUACAUAGCCAACCUGAGAGGGUGAUCGGCCACACUGGGACUGAGACACGGCCCAGACUCCUACGGGAGGCAGCAGUAGGGAAUCUUCGGCAAUGGACGGAAGUCUGACCGAGCAACGCCGCGUGAGUGAAGAAGGUUUUCGGAUCGUAAAGCUCUGUUGUAAGAGAAGAACGAGUGUGAGAGUGGAAAGUUCACACUGUGACGGUAUCUUACCAGAAAGGGACGGCUAACUACGUGCCAGCAGCCGCGGUAAUACGUAGGUCCCGAGCGUUGUCCGGAUUUAUUGGGCGUAAAGCGAGCGCAGGCGGUUAGAUAAGUCUGAAGUUAAAGGCUGUGGCUUAACCAUAGUACGCUUUGGAAACUGUUUAACUUGAGUGCAAGAGGGGAGAGUGGAAUUCCAUGUGUAGCGGUGAAAUGCGUAGAUAUAUGGAGGAACACCGGUGGCGAAAGCGGCUCUCUGGCUUGUAACUGACGCUGAGGCUCGAAAGCGUGGGGAGCAAACAGGAUUAGAUACCCCUGGUAGUCCACGCCGUAAACGAUGAGUGCUAGGUGUUAGACCCUUUCCGGGGUUUAGUGCCGCAGCUAACGCAUUAAGCACUCCGCCUGGGGAGUACGACCGCAAGGUUGAAACUCAAAGGAAUUGAC
Molecule: ribosomal RNA, 898 nt
Filed under: uncultured bacterium
Lineage: Bacteria
Description: bacterial SSU rRNA
Rfam family: Bacterial small subunit ribosomal RNA
Source: RNAcentral